Molecule: ribosomal RNA, 497 nt
Filed under: uncultured bacterium
Lineage: Bacteria
Description: partial 16S ribosomal RNA
Rfam family: Bacterial small subunit ribosomal RNA
Source: RNAcentral
GAUGAACGCUGGCGGCGUGCCUAAUACAUGCAAGUCGAGCGAACAGACGAGGAGCUUGCUCCUCUGACGUUAGCGGCGGACGGGUGAGUAACACGUGGAUAACCUACCUAUAAGACUGGGAUAACUUCGGGAAACCGGAGCUAAUACCGGAUAAUAUAUUGAACCGCAUGGGUCAAUAGUGAAAGACGGUUUUGCUGUCACUUAUAGAUGGAUCCGCGCCGCAUUGGCUAGUUGGUAAGGUAACGGCUUACCAAGGCAACGAUGCGUAGCCGACCUGAGAGGGUGAUCGGCCACACUGGAACUGAGCCACGGUCCAGGCUCCUACGGGACGCAGCAGUAGGGAAUCUUCCGCAGUGGGGGAAAGCUUGACGGAGCAACGCCGCGUCAGUGAUGAAGGUCUUCGGAUCGUAAAACUCUGUUAUUAGUGAAGAACAAAUGUGUAAGUAACUAUGCACGUCUUGACGGUACCUAAUCAGAAAGCCACGGCUAACUACGUG